Molecule: ribosomal RNA, 497 nt
Filed under: uncultured bacterium
Lineage: Bacteria
Description: partial 16S ribosomal RNA
Rfam family: Bacterial small subunit ribosomal RNA
Source: RNAcentral
GAUGAACGCUGGCGGCGUGCCUAAUACAUGCAAGUCGAGCGAACAGACGAGGAGCUUGCUCCUCUGACGUUAGCGGCGGACGGGUGAGUAACACGUGGAUAACCUACCUAUAAGACUGGGAUAACUUCGGGAAACCGGAGCUAAUACCGGAUAAUAUAUUGAACCGCAUGGUUCAAUAGUGAAAGACGGUUUUGCUGUCACUUAUAGAUGGAUCCGCGCCGCAUUAGCUAGUUGGUAAGGUAACGGCUUACCAAGGCAACGAUGCGUAGCCGACCUGGGAGGGUGAUCGUCCACACUGGAACUGAGACACGGUCCAGACUCCGACGGGAGGCAGCAGUAGGGAAUCUCCCGCAAUGGGCGAAAGCCUGACGGAGCAACGCCGCGUGAAUGAUGAGGGUCUUCGGAUCGUAAAACUCUGUUAUUAGGGAAGAACAAAUGUGUAAGUAACUAUGCACGUCUUGACGGUACCUAAUCAGAAAGCCACGGCUAACUACGUG